ACCGCCGAAUCGCCGGAAGCACCGCGAACCGGGGACCCACAACCGGGGUGAAUCCAUUGCCGACAACGAGGCAGUGGUAGGGCGCGAUCGUAAAGAUCACUUCUUCCCGCCCGAACCCGUCAGCUAACUCGGUAGGCGGAGAUCGGAA
RNAcentral lists this small RNA (148 nucleotides) under uncultured Stackebrandtia sp. RNAcentral describes it as "ydaO/yuaA leader". It matches the Rfam family "c-di-AMP riboswitch aptamer (ydaO/yuaA leader)", at positions 11 to 128 of the family's 134-position model. From Rfam's summary of the family: This family represents a conserved RNA structure found upstream of the ydaO and yuaA genes in Bacillus subtilis and related genes in other bacteria. The ydaO/yuaA element is thought to act as a genetic "off" switch for the ydaO and yuaA genes in its native state. The record is from RNAcentral. Lineage: Bacteria; Bacillati; Actinomycetota; Actinomycetes; Glycomycetales; Glycomycetaceae.